GACGAACGCUGGCGGCGUGCUUAACACAUGCAAGUCGAACGGAAAGGCCCUGCUUUUGUGGGGUGCUCGAGUGGCGAACGGGUGAGUAACACGUGAGUAACCUGCCCUUGACUUUGGGAUAACUUCAGGAAACUGGGGCUAAUACCGGAUAGGAGCUCCUGCUGCAUGGUGGGGGUUGGAAAGUUUCGGCGGUUGGGGAUGGACUCGCGGCUUAUCAGCUUGUUGGUGGGGUAGUGGCUUACCAAGGCUUUGACGGGUAGCCGGCCUGAGAGGGGGACCGGCCACACUGGGACUGCGAUACGGCCCAGACUCCAACGGGAGGCAGCAGUGGGGAAUAUUGCACAAUGGGAGGAAGCCUGAUGCAGCAACGCCGCGUGCGGGAUGACGGCCUUCGGGUUGUAAACCGCAGUCGCCUGUGACGAAGCGUGAGUGACGGUAAUGGGUGAAGAAGCACCGGCUAACUACGUG
This 468-nucleotide ribosomal RNA is filed under the name uncultured bacterium. RNAcentral's name for it is "partial 16S ribosomal RNA". It matches the Rfam family "Bacterial small subunit ribosomal RNA", at positions 28 to 507 of the family's 1533-position model. The record is from RNAcentral.